Molecule: ribosomal RNA, 733 nt
Filed under: Tintinnidium balechi
Lineage: Eukaryota; Ciliophora; Spirotrichea; Tintinnida; Tintinnidiidae
Description: LSU rRNA
Rfam family: Eukaryotic large subunit ribosomal RNA
Source: RNAcentral
AAGGAUUCCCUCAGUACGGGCGACGGAAGCGGGAAAAGCCCACACUGGUAAUCUCCGGGCGCAGUCCGGCGAAUUGUAAUCUGAAGGUUGUCGGCCUAACUAGGAGGGACGCAGAAAUGUCCACGAGCGGACUGCCAAAGAGGGUGAAAGCCCCGUCUGUGGUGUCGCUCCUAACCUGGCCGGGGGCCGAAGAGUCGUGUACUUUGAUACUAGUGCACAAAGCGGGAGAUAGACUUCUUCUAAGGCUAAAUAUAUGUAGGAAACCGAUAGCGAACAAGUACUGUGAAGGAAAGAUGAAAAGCACUUUGAAAAGAGAGUUAAAAGACUUGAAAUCGUUGAGGCGGAAGCGGUAGAAAAGUAUUCUAUCCCGAGUCCGGCGAACAGUGCCUAAGAGUAAUCGGAAGCGCUGGAGUUGGACGAAAGGAUGAGACAAGAUGAAGUCGGACGAUGCCAAAAGCGGGGAGAAGCCGGGAGCUUGCUUCAGCUUCUACUUGGCGGGGUGUCGAGCGGCUUGAGGGGCUUUGUGCGAUCUUGUCAAAAUGGUUUUUACCGACUCGUCUUGAAACACGAACCAAGGAGUCUAAGACUAACGCGAGUGUGGUGGUGGAAAAACCAACACGCGAAAUGAAAGUGAAUGAUGCCAAGGAAACGGCAGCAUCGACCGACCAUGACCCACUGGGGAAAGGUUUGAGUGAGAGCGUUAUUCUUAGGACCCGAAAGAUGGUGAAACUAU